This 364-nucleotide unclassified non-coding RNA is filed under the name Hevea brasiliensis (rubber tree). Lineage: Eukaryota; Viridiplantae; Streptophyta; Magnoliopsida; Malpighiales; Euphorbiaceae. The record is from RNAcentral.
GUCCCAACUAAUUUACUGCCAAAAUGUAACAACCACCUCAUAAUUUCAGAACAGGCUCAUAAUACAUAACGCAUCAAUAUCACAAAAAGUACUUAAGAAUUCACCACCCACUUUAAGGCAUGUUCUGUCUUUACAUUUGAAUAUUAAUUCAAUUCCAAUGACAUACGAUAAACACAAGCAUAAAAUUUCCCACAACCACCAAAGAAAAUAAUACAAUAUACAAAAAUAUGACCCAUUUAACUUAUUGCAAUCCAAUCACCAAUCCUAUCCAUCCAAUAUGAAUAGAUGGUCCCUAAAAUUGAAAGCAAAGAAAUUAUUAUAGGAAGAAAUAGAAAGCAGAUACAGACAAGGGUAUGUGUUACCU